Molecule: ribosomal RNA, 466 nt
Filed under: uncultured bacterium
Lineage: Bacteria
Description: partial 16S ribosomal RNA
Rfam family: Bacterial small subunit ribosomal RNA
Source: RNAcentral
GAUGAACGCUGGCGGCGUGCUUAACACAUGCAAGUCGAACGAUGAAGCUCAGCUUGCUGGGUGCAUGAGUGGCGAACGGGUGAGUAACACGUGAGUAACCUGCCCUUAACUCUGGGAUAAGCCUGCGAAACUAGGGCUAAUACCGGAUAGGAGCGCCUACUGCAUGGUGGGGGUUGGAAAGAUUCAUCGGUUGUGGAUGGACUCGCGGCCUAUCAGCUUGUUGGUGAGGUAAGGGCUCACCAAGGCGACGACGGGUAGCCGGCCUGAGAGGGUGACCGGCCACAAUGGGACUGAGAUACGGCCCAGACUCCUACGGGAGGCAGCAGUGGGGAAUAUUGCACAAUGGGCGGAAGCCUGAUGCAGCGACGCCGCGUGCGGGAUGACGGCCUUCGGGUUGUAAACCUCUUUCAGCUGGGACGAAGCGAAAGUGACGGUACCUGAAGAAGAAGCACCGGCUAACUACGUG